UACGGCGGGAGCUAGCGUUGUUCGGAAUUACUGGGCGUAAAGCGCGCGUAGGCGGCUUUGUAAGUUAGAGGUGAAAGCCUGGAGCUCAACUUCAGAAUUGCCUUUAAGACUGCAUCGCUUGAAUCCGGGAGAGGUGAGUGGAAUUCCGAGUGUAGAGGUGAAAUUCGUAGAUAUUCGGAAGAACACCAGUGGCGAAGGCGGCUCACUGGACCGGCAUUGACGCUGAGGUGCGAAAGCGUGGGGAGCAAACAGG
Molecule: ribosomal RNA, 253 nt
Filed under: uncultured bacterium
Lineage: Bacteria
Description: partial 16S ribosomal RNA
Rfam family: Bacterial small subunit ribosomal RNA
Source: RNAcentral